Molecule: ribosomal RNA, 873 nt
Filed under: uncultured Pseudomonadales bacterium
Lineage: Bacteria; Pseudomonadati; Pseudomonadota; Gammaproteobacteria; Pseudomonadales
Description: bacterial SSU rRNA
Rfam family: Bacterial small subunit ribosomal RNA
Source: RNAcentral
AUUGAACGCUGGCGGCAGGCCUAACACAUGCAAGUCGAGCGGAUGAAGGGAGCUUGCUCCUGGAUUCAGCGGCGGACGGGUGAGUAAUGCCUAGGAAUCUGCCUGGUAGUGGGGGAUAACGUCCGGAAACGGGCGCUAAUACCGCAUACGUCCUGAGGGAGAAAGUGGGGGAUCUUCGGACCUCACGCUAUCAGAUGAGCCUAGGUCGGAUUAGCUAGUUGGUGGGGUAAAGGCCUACCAAGGCGACGAUCCGUAACUGGUCUGAGAGGAUGAUCAGUCACACUGGAACUGAGACACGGUCCAGACUCCUACGGGAGGCAGCAGUGGGGAAUAUUGGACAAUGGGCGAAAGCCUGAUCCAGCCAUGCCGCGUGUGUGAAGAAGGUCUUCGGAUUGUAAAGCACUUUAAGUUGGGAGGAAGGGCAGUAAGUUAAUACCUUGCUGUUUUGACGUUACCAACAGAAUAAGCACCGGCUAACUUCGUGCCAGCAGCCGCGGUAAUACGAAGGGUGCAAGCGUUAAUCGGAAUUACUGGGCGUAAAGCGCGCGUAGGUGGUUCAGCAAGUUGGAUGUGAAAUCCCCGGGCUCAACCUGGGAACUGCAUCCAAAACUACUGAGCUAGAGUACGGUAGAGGGUGGUGGAAUUUCCUGUGUAGCGGUGAAAUGCGUAGAUAUAGGAAGGAACACCAGUGGCGAAGGCGACCACCUGGACUGAUACUGACACUGAGGUGCGAAAGCGUGAGGAGCAAACAGGAUUAGAUACCCUGGUAGUCCACGCCGUAAACGAUGUCGACUAGCCGUUGGGAUCCUUGAGAUCUUAGUGGCGCAGCUAACGCGAUAAGUCGACCGCCUGGGGAGUACGGCCGCAAGGUUA